Molecule: ribosomal RNA, 274 nt
Filed under: uncultured bacterium
Lineage: Bacteria
Description: partial 16S ribosomal RNA
Rfam family: Bacterial small subunit ribosomal RNA
Source: RNAcentral
AUACGGAGGGGGCUAGCGUUGUUCGGAAUUACUGGGCGUAAAGCGCGCGUAGGCGGAUCGUUAAGUCAGGGGUGAAAGCCCGGAGCUCAACUCCGGAACUGCCCUUGAUACUGGCGAUCUCGAGUCCGGGAGAGGUGAGCGGAAUUCCUAGUGUAGAGGUGAAAUUCGUAGAUAUUAGGAGGGACACCAGUGGCGAAGGCGGCUCACUGGCCCGGUACUGACGCUGAGGUGCGAAAGCGUGGGGAGCAAACAGGAUUAGAAACCCUAGUAGUCC